This is a long non-coding RNA of Oryzias melastigma (Indian medaka), 906 nucleotides long. RefSeq lists it as uncharacterized. The transcript has 3 exons. Lineage: Eukaryota; Metazoa; Chordata; Actinopteri; Beloniformes; Adrianichthyidae. The record is from RefSeq and is a predicted model, not a curated record.
CACAACCACAAGUCCCCUUCCGCUCUGCACGCGCGCACACUCCAUCUAACCUGAAGGUCAAGGUGGAUCAGCGCGAGGGUCAACAGCAACUCCUGCAAGUCUGACAGUCCAGGAGGAGGAGGAGGAGGAGAAGGAGGAGGAGGAGGAGGAGGAGAAGAAGUAGGCUUAGAACUGGAGAAAAGAGCGAGAAAGAUGGAGGGAGGGGUGGGCUGACACCGCCCCCCCGCUGGAAACCUUGAACCUGCUCUCUCCUUCGGGCCUCCUAAUCGCGCUCUCGAGUCGGAGCUCGUGCGCGUUCUGCGCGCGCUCCCAGCGCGGGUGCUCAGCACGAGAGCUGUGUUCUGUUCCCUCCGCGCGGAGGACAGGUCUGUUUGGGACAUACUGACGGAAGGAGGCCCCCCCCAGCUUGCGCGCUCGGGUCUCCGGACCGUGGAUUGGACCGGAGUCGAUUCGGUUUUGGACCGGCUCGGAGGGGAAGUAAAAGUUGACCGGCCAGGAAACCCACCACCACCUCCCCAAAAUGCAACAAUCAAGGUGAACAAUGUAGAUGCUGCCUAAUCAGUGUGUGCCACAGAGCCCCCAACAACAGCUGAAGGAGCGCCAUGCCCCAUGAAUACCAAAGAGGCGGGCACGAGCAACCAGAUCUGAGCCGCCGCCGCCGCCGCCGUCACAAAACAGGCAGACAGUUUUAUGGGAGUCUGUCUGACGGACCCCGCAGAUGAAGCCCCGACUCUCGCAGCCAUUAAAUCAGCUCCCGGACACUGGCGGGGAUUUGGACUCAAAGUCCCAGAGUUCUGAGGGAGCAGCAUCUGGACUGAUGUAGAUCUGAGCAUCAUAUCAGACCCCCCAAGGGUUUAUCUUUUGGUUUGUUAAUCCAUAGUUUAAAGAUGAAAAAGAAAAAAAAAA